Molecule: ribosomal RNA, 252 nt
Filed under: uncultured bacterium
Lineage: Bacteria
Description: partial 16S ribosomal RNA
Rfam family: Bacterial small subunit ribosomal RNA
Source: RNAcentral
UACGUAGGGUGCAAGCGUUGUCCGGAAUUAUUGGGCGUAAAGAGCUUGUAGGCGGUUUGUCGCGUCUGCUGUGAAAUUUCGGGGCUCAACCCUCGAAUGCCGGUGGAUACUGUCGGGCAGAGUGCGGAAGAGGCGAGUGGAAUCCUGGUGUAGCGGUGAAAUGCGCAGAUAUCAGGAGGAACACCGGUGGCGAAGGCGGGUCUCUGGGCCGUAACUGGACGCUGAGGAGCGAAAGCAUGGGGGAGCAACAGG